RNAcentral lists this ribosomal RNA (468 nucleotides) under uncultured bacterium. RNAcentral describes it as "partial 16S ribosomal RNA". It matches the Rfam family "Bacterial small subunit ribosomal RNA", at positions 28 to 507 of the family's 1533-position model. The record is from RNAcentral.
GACGAACGCUGGCGGCGUGCUUAACACAUGCAAGUCGAACGGAAAGGCCCUGCUUUUGUGGGGUGCUCGAGUGGCGAACGGGUGAGUAACACGUGAGUAACCUGCCCUUGACUUUGGGAUAACUUCAGGAAACUGGGGCUAAUACCGGAUAGGAGCUCCUGCUGCAUGGUGGGGGUUGGAAAGUAUCGGCGGUUGGGUAUUGACUCGCGGCUUAUCAGCUUGUUGGUGGGGUAGUGGCUUACCAAGGCUUUGACGGGUAGCCUGCCUGAGAGGGUGAACAGCCACAGUGGGACUGAGGGACGGAGCAGCAUGGUACGGGAGGCAACAGGGGAGAAUAUUGCAGAGUAGCCGGGAGCGUGAGGUAGAGACCUUGCGAGCGGGAAGACGGCUUAUGGGGUGUGAACCACUGUCGCCUGAGAUGAAGCGGGAGUGACGGUAAUGAGUAAGGAAGCAACGGCUAACUACGUG